CGACCUUAACCGAAGCGUUCGGGUCCGGCUGUCACAUUCGUGGCGUACCGAAUGCUCGUCUCUUGUGGCGGCGACGACGGCGACGGCGGCGGCGUAACGCGUUAAUGAAAAUGGCAACGCGUCGCGACGCCAUGUGGCAGCCUCAACGGGAUACGCACGGCUGCAAAUUGCGCUGCUUUAUCAAUCUGAAAUAACAUCGGCGCGGAACAAUUAACGACGACGCGAAACUUACGGGGACUUCAUCGAUCAACGGAAGGAUCAUGUUACGGUAUGGCUGACAUAUAGACGGAUGUAUAUCUGAGAGAGAAAUAGCGUGUUUAAGAGAUUGCAGAUAUUCCAUCUUGAUAAGCAACAUAUUUUCAGUUCGCAAGCAGAGGAUAGCGAAAGCAUUAAUUCGCAAAGCAAAGCACAUAGCACACACAGCAAUUUAGAAAUAUACAGGGAACCUUCAAAAUAGUCCAAUGAAAAAUAUUUCUGAAAAAAACAGUGCAAUUAGUUUGUUAAGUCUGCUGCAAAAUUGUGUUAAUAAAAGAACAUUGUGAUAAAGAAAUAUAUUUUUAGGAGAUA
Molecule: long non-coding RNA, 567 nt
Organism: Mycetomoellerius zeteki
Lineage: Eukaryota; Metazoa; Arthropoda; Insecta; Hymenoptera; Formicidae
Exons: 3
Source: RefSeq, a predicted model, not a curated record